Physcomitrium patens is the source of this 2043-nucleotide non-coding RNA. NCBI's taxonomy places the organism in Eukaryota, Viridiplantae, Streptophyta, Bryopsida, Funariales, Funariaceae. The record is from RefSeq and is a predicted model, not a curated record.
UCAGUACCACCCACAGUGCCCUUUCCUGAGCAGUAGGUCGGUAGGAAAUCCAAACCACGAAGGGGUUUCAUGAUUUGCGAGGAAGGUCGUUAGUCUCUGGAGCUUUCGACCCUGCACUACCACCUUCUGCAGUGUCGGUUUAUUUCUGGCCCUUGUGAUUUGUGCUUUUCGGUGUUCAUUGAAUGCCGUCGAGGUCUGUAAUGGGGAUUCUUCUCGAGUGAAGAGGCGCGCGGGAGCGAGAAUUUUCCCUUGUUGUAGCGUGCACAAGUCUUUAGUUUGAUUGCAGCGGCUUUCUUGAUCUUGUAACAUGCUUUCAACGUGUUUUGUCGUCGUUUUCUGCCGCAUUGCGAUACAGCAGAUCCGUGUAGAAUAGUGGGGAUUGGCAGUUGAGCGGAGUUAGGAGAAAGCGAGAGAGAGGAAGAGAGGGAGAGGUGCUAUGGCGUGGGAAGUUGAGUGAUGGGAAGGAGAAAGUGAUGGAGGCUGUGUUUAGUCGUGGCGAGGUGUUGCCUUCAUUCGGUUUUUUGGUUUUAUUUUCGCGAGGUUUUCUGGUAGACGGUGUGGUACUCAUCAUGAUUGGUGUUGUAUAGACUUCCGCAGCGGAGGUAGUGCCUGCGUGGUGUUGAUUGUGGCCGAAGCAUCGUUGUCUGCCGGUGGUCAGGACCCAUUCUUGGAGGUGAAAGCUAUUUCGAGGGUGUUGUCAUCGGAGGCAACUUGUGGACUUGACUAGCUGGAGGUGAUGGUAGGAGCUUGGGAUAAGAUACUUGCUCGUUUGAGAGCAACAAGCGCGCGUUUUUUCAAUUCGUUACGAAUUGUCAUCUUAUGACAUAAUGCCGCUGCUUCAAGCUUCAUACUUCGGCUAUUUUGUGCAAGAGGUGAUCGUGAGCACUUCCAGCCGUGUUGCUUAGUUGCAGGUUUCGAAUAUCUAGAGCCUGCAGAAGUUAAGGAUUUUGUACAUGAGAGCGUGUGUCUGUGCAAACUCAUAGUGCCCGCAGAGACGAGCAGUACUGUUCCGCAAUUUGCAGAUGGAAGUUUUCGAGAAUGCCCGUUUUUCGCUUGUUCGCUCACCCUUCAUGAUCGGUAUCGCAGCAUUCAUAUUGUGAGUGUUUGCAGAUCCGACCUGUAUUAAACAUGAAAUGGAAUCACUUGGGAACGAAGUUACUGCCGCGUAAUCUCCUCGCUCGAUAAGCAUAUCAAGAACAAACCAAGCUAAGGAGCAUGUCAAGCAGAGGUUGGUGCGGCAUGGCGAAUCUAAAAGACUCUUCAUAGGGGAAUCUGUUGGUGCUCGCCCGAGGAGCACGAUGUGCGUUUGUCAGUUGGAAGGGACGAUUUCUGGGUCUUCAAAGACACCUCACAAGAUUUCCUUGAACUCUCCUCACAAACCCAGAGGCCAAGGUAUGGAGUCGAACUAUUCCUGUGGCCGCAAUGGUGAGCCUUACCAGCAAGGGGAGUUGAGUGGUGAAGAAUGGAAAACCAAUGGUUUUUAUGCAAAGAGGGAUGGAGUAUUCAAGUGUAUAGCGGGGAUAGCUGCUGAUUGUACAGCCGUGUGCUGUUGCCCUCUCUCUCUUCUUCAUCUUUUGACUUUUGCUUGCAUCAAAUUGCCUUCCAUUGUUGUCAUUCGGGCCCUCAGGAAAGUGAAAACUAAGCUUCGUAGGAAGCAGAAGUGUCAAGACGCUAAUGAGGAUGAUAUUGAUCCGAGAACACCCUUCACGCCCUGUUUUUCAUGCCCAGAAUCCACAAGUGACAUCUCUUGGGCACCAUUUUCCGGGAUUCGCUGAUCCUCAGAUGUGGCAGGAGUAUUUUGGUGUUGAAGAAAUCAGCCUUGCGGAUCACUAGAGAAUUUUGUACUUCACUCAGUGCCCGUAUUUUAUACAGAGCAGAACAUUGAUAUUUGCCAACGAGUGAGCCUCCACUCUUCCACAGCCUCAUGGUGGAACCUACGUUAGCAGCAUAGGUAGGGCCAACACUCUGCACAGAGAUGAUCACGCAUGUGUUCCUUAUUUUCGUUACGUUCCACUAACCAAGCGACAUUUCUUUCAUUGUCCA